UAGGGAAUCAUCGGCAAUGGGGGAAACCCUGACCGUGCAAUGCCGCGUGAGUGAUGAAGGCCUUAUGGGUUGUAAAGCUCUGUUGCGAAGGAAGAACAUGUUAGAUAGAAUCUAGCACUGACGGUACUUCGCCAGAAAGCCAUGGCUAACUACGUGCCAGCAGCCGCGGUAAUACGUAGAUGGCAAGCGUUAUCCGGAUUUAUUGGGCGUAAAGGGUGCUCAGCUGGUUUAUUAAGUCUGUAGUUAAAUUUCGGGGCUCAACUCCGAACUGCUAUAGAAACUGGUAGACUCGAGUACAGGAGAGGGUAGUGGAAUUCCAUGUGAAGCGGUAAAAUGCGUAGAUAUAUGGAGGAACACCAGUGGCGAAGGCGGCUACCUGGCCUGUUACUGACGGUCAAGCACGAAAGCGUGGGGAGCAAAUAGG
RNAcentral lists this ribosomal RNA (424 nucleotides) under uncultured bacterium. RNAcentral's name for it is "bacterial SSU rRNA". It matches the Rfam family "Bacterial small subunit ribosomal RNA", at positions 355 to 776 of the family's 1533-position model. The record is from RNAcentral.